AGAAUCACCUGGUAGCAGGAUGGCUUUGCAUAAUAGAAGCGACUCUCCAACCAAGGAUGAAUUGCCUACAAGAAUCUCCAAAAUGGAUUUUGAUUGAAAUAGCUCAGAAUUCCAUUCGAGAAACAUCUUCUUCUGUUCCUAAUGGUGAACCCGAUGGCUGGUUUACCUCUAAUAAACAGAAACUGGCUCCUAAUCCAGAACUUCUAGCUUCAGUUUCUGAUCGUGAAUUGAAAUCUGAUUCUUCUCUCAGUGAACCAGACAUAGAACACGAAUCUCAGGAAUUGGAGUUACAUCAGCAAAAAAGUGAUCAUAUGAUUGAUGAAAGGAUGAGAAUGAUUGAUGAUGCUAGCAAUGUCCUAGAUGUUGAGAUAGAUUCUUCGUUUGCUAAUGAGCAGCAUAGUAAUGCAUCUAAAGCUCUUGGCGGAACAGAUUGUUUGGCAGUAUUCACUGAUGUAAUUGACAAUUCUGUCCUUGAGCAGGAAAGAGGUUCUGAACAUUGCUUCCUUGUGCCAAUGAGUGAUCAGAAAAAUUGUAGCAUUGAGAAUAAUGUCAAUUUGGUUGGCUUGGACAAGCAAGAGAUUUUCAAUACUGACAAAGUGGAUAAAAUGUGUAGUGUAGAGGUAGAAACUGGCUUUGUAAGCAAUAAGAGUGAAGCAGAUGGUAAUAUUGUGCAAGAAACUGUACAGGAAUCUUUCAAAGAAGAUCAGCUUCAGCAAGGGGUUCCAGAAACACCUGUAUCUGUAUUGCAACCAUCCCAUGGUUUUUCAGUGCCCAAUGUGAACUUGGAUAAGGAAGAAACAAAAUGUAGUGUGAUGGACCAGAAGCGUGACAAAAUAGCUGGAUUUGAGGAGUUGAAGUUGGAGGAAAUUGAACAACUAAAAUUUAGUUUUGGGACUGGGCAAGAACCUAGUUCUCUGCCAGAGGUGCCAAUAAAUAUGGAAAAUCAUACUGAGAUGGAAGAGGCAUAUGAUGCCUCAGUUAAGUUUGAACCAGAGAUUGUAGAUACAGUUGGUGGACAGCAACUUACAACUGUUUGUGUAUGGUGUGGGGUGGAGUUCAGCCAUGAGGCUGUAGAUUCUUGCCUUGCAGAGAAGUGCAGUCGGAUUCAGUUGGUUAUAUGUGUCCGAUCUGCAAGGCAAGAAUCU
Molecule: unclassified non-coding RNA, 1145 nt
Filed under: Hevea brasiliensis (rubber tree)
Lineage: Eukaryota; Viridiplantae; Streptophyta; Magnoliopsida; Malpighiales; Euphorbiaceae
Source: RNAcentral